RNAcentral lists this transfer RNA (76 nucleotides) under Vibrio algivorus. RNAcentral's name for it is "tRNA-Gly". It matches the Rfam family "tRNA". Rfam says of the family: Transfer RNA (tRNA) molecules are approximately 80 nucleotides in length. Their secondary structure includes four short double-helical elements and three loops (D, anti-codon, and T loops). The record is from RNAcentral. Lineage: Bacteria; Pseudomonadati; Pseudomonadota; Gammaproteobacteria; Vibrionales; Vibrionaceae.
GCGACACUAGCUCAGCUGGCAGAGCGCAACCUUGCCAAGGUUGAGGUCACGAGUUCGAACCUCGUGUGUCGCUCCA